Molecule: long non-coding RNA, 4966 nt
Organism: Mobula hypostoma (lesser devil ray)
Lineage: Eukaryota; Metazoa; Chordata; Chondrichthyes; Myliobatiformes; Myliobatidae
Exons: 3
Source: RefSeq, a predicted model, not a curated record
UCAGAAAACUGCUCCCACAUUUUCUCUGACAAGAGAAAAUCUGCAGAUGCUGAAAUGCUGAAGGAACUCAGCAGGCCAGGCAGAACCUAUUGAAAAGAGUACAGUUGAAAUGUCGACUGUACUCUUUUCCAUAUUCCGUAGAUGCUGCCUGGCAUUAAGCAUUUUGUGUGUGUGUAGCCUGAAUUUUCUCUUUUUGUUCUCAUAACAAAGUAGGGUCUUCCUUUCUGUUUUAUUUCCCUUGCACAAGAUUUCUGUAAAUAUUUUGUCAAAGUUGCAUCCGAGGAUUGGAGCAGGCGUGGCGAUCUGUUACCUCACGCAAUUUUGUUUUGGAAAUUACAUUCACAAGUAGUACAUGAGUAUCAGCACAGGGAAUCUUUCUCACUUUUUUUUUUAACAUGAUGAAAGAUGCCUUAGUUACUUCAGUAGAACCAAGCUUGGACUACGUUUACCUCCUCUGUAACUGCCGAGAAGCUCAACUCUAAUGUGAGGAUGUGAAAACAGAAAAGUACUAAAUUUUCUCAUGGAUUUAGGUGAUGGACAUCAACCUUCACGGAACGUGGGCCAGGUUAGAUGUGGCACAGUUUCAACGGCUGCAACCAUUCUGAUGGAGACAAAAUGUAGAGAAGGAGAGAGUUAAGUUUAAGGCAGAGAAUACAGAAGCCUGAAAACACAUACCACCAACUUCAAGGACAGCUUGUACUCCAUUGUUAUAAGAUUAUUGAAUGGACCUCUUGCAUGAUAUGAUGGACAUUUGACCUCACAAUCUAUCUCAUUAUGGCCUUGAACCUUAUUGCCUGCCCGCAUUGCACUUUCUCUAUUCUCAGCAUUAAAAAUAUGAUAUGAUGAUGAACAAUAUGAACAAUGGGGACUGGAAGAGGAGCACAGAAUUAAAACAUAAGUAAGGCCAAUGUGUGCUGGGUAUUUAACAUUUCCGUUAUAUCUGAGUAAUAUUAUAGUUUGAUUAAGCGUUCUUUGUUUAAGUAAUUCAUUACCCCAGUUUUCCCAUUCUUACCUGCUUCAGAAUGAACUUGCUCUUGCCGAGGGAGUUGCCUUGUGUGGGGAUUGAGGGUUGUUGUACCAUCCAAGCUGAGCGCUGAAGUGUUGGAGAAGUUACAUGCUGGUCAUCUAGACAUGGUCAAAGUUAAGGUGGUGGCUCGAAGCUUUUCCUGGGAUAGAUCAGCAGAUCUAAUUUGAGAUGCAUUCUAUAUUAAGUUGGAGUAUAUAGCUAAGCAGGGAGGAGUGUUGUGUACUUACUAUUUCAGUAAUAUUUGAGUAAUAUUGUAAACAUAUUGUUUGAUUAAGCAUUCUUUGUUUAAAUAAGUUAUUACUGGUUAUACGUAAAAGUAUGUGAAUGGCACACAUCAUCACGCCAAUACAUCAUAUAUGCGUGCCUUGCUAAAGUAAAAAUGAAACUAAGAGUACAUGAGCUCCUGGUCUUCCUGUGUUUUUCAUUCAAUUAGUUCUAUGUUUUGCAGUUACAACACACAACAACUUAGCCCAUCAAGUCUUUGGUGACCCUGUAAAGGGCAUUGCAGUGGUCCCACACACACUGGCCUUUCAUCGUGGCUCUGCAGCUUUAUCAUUUUUGUGACAGGUAAGAGGAACAUCUUGAAAAAAAGAGGUAAUAAUGGAGAAAAAUCAAUAUUCCUAGGUAUGCAACACAUGAAGAAAAUAAGGUGUCCCUCAGCCACGAAGAACAGCCCGCUGAAGCAAUGUGACUUACUCCAGAGGGAAGAUGGUUUGGGCUCAGGAUUAACAGCAGAAUAAGGCGGGAAUAUGAGGUGUGAGAGCCAGGAUCAAGAGAGCUGGCUCCCUACUGAUGGAUGGUGGCAAAGGGUUGUGUGUGCAGACCUCCUGAGCUGUUUCAGUGCAUCCAGUCAGUGGUGCUCAUGGUGCUCACCACUGAACAGGACUGUUAGCCCCAGUGCCAUGAACCUGACCUUACCAAUUCUCUUCUAGUGAUGAGAAGCAAAUAGAAUGAGUUGCUGCCAUUCAAAAAUGCGUAUUUAUAUCUGAACCAUAUGGUGUAGGAAAGUGAAUGGUGAAAGAAUCAAUGAGGAGACAACAAACAGUUCGGGUCUAGAAUACAGUGUCUGAGUAGUUAGAGUCAUAGAAACAGUCCCUCUGGCACAUUACUUCUGCGACAACCUUUCAGCUCAUUUACACCCAUCCCACAUUAGGACAAUGCCCUACUAUGCCAUGCCUACUUAAUUAGUUUCAUUCAUAUAUCUUAGAGAGAAGUUUUUUGUCUGUCUUGGAGAGCAGUUUACCAAGAGAUACAAUGCUGUUGCUGUUGCUCAGGGAAGAUCUCUUAGUCCCCUACUCUUAUCAUUGUACGUGCUCCCCUUAGGAUACAUCGUUUCAGUGCAUGAACUUGAUUUCCACAGUUAUGUAGAUGACGCACAAUUGUACAUCCCAGUUGAGCUUGAUAACGCCCAUGCUGAGGCAGAGCUCUGCAUGGAUUCCUUAAAGGAAAAUCCUGCCUGACAUCUCUAUUACAAUUUUUUGAGGAAAUUACCAGUAGGCUUGAUGAGAGAUGCAGUGGAUGUUGUACAUUUGGAUUUUCAGAAGGCCUUUGACAAGGUGCCGCAUAUGAGGCUGCUAAACAAGAUAAGAGCCCAUGGAAUUACAGGAAAGUUACAUACAUGGAUAGAGUGUUGGCUGAUUGGCAGGAAACAGAGAGUGGGAAUAAAGGGAUCCUAUUCUGGUUGGCUGCCGGUUACCAGUGGCGUUCCACAGGGGUCUGUAUUGGGGCCGUUUCUUUUUACAUUGUACAUCAACGAUUUGGAUUAUGGAACAGAUGGCUUUGUGGCUAAGUUUGCUGACGAUACGAAGAUAGGUGGGAGGGGCCAGUAGCGCUGAGGAAACAGAGAGUCUGCAGAGAGACUUGGAUAGAUUGGAAGAAUAGGCAAAGAAGUGGCAAAUUAAAUACAAUGUUGGAAAGUGUAUGGUUAUGCACUUUGGCAGAAGAAAUAAACGGGCAGACUAUUACUUAAAUGGAGAAAGAAUUCAAAGUUCAGAGAUGCAACGGGACUUGGGUGUCCUCAUACAGGAUACGCUUAAGGUUAACCUCCAGGUUGAGUCAGUGGUGAAGAAGGUGAAUGCAAUGUUGGUAUUCAUUUCUAGAGGAAUAGAGUAUAGGAGCAGGGAUGUGAUGUUGAGGCUCUAUAAGGCGCUGGUGAGACCUCACUUGGAGUACUGUGGGCAGUUUUGGUCUCCUUAUUUAAGAAAGGAUGUGCUGACGUUGGAGAGGGUACAGAUAAGAUUCACUAGAAUGAUUCCGGGAAUGAGAGGGUUAUAUGAGAAACGUUUGUCCGCUCUUGGACUGUAUUCCUUGGAGUUUAGAAGAAUGAGGGGAGACCUCAUAGAAACAUUUUGAAUGUUGAAAGGCAUGGACAGAGUGGAUGUGGCAAAGUUGUUUCCCAUGAUGGGGGAAUCUAGUACGAGAGGGCAUGACUUAAGGAUUGAAGGGCGCCCAUUCAGAACAGAAAUGCAAAGAAAUUUUUUUAGCCAGAGGGUGGUGAAUCUAUGGAAUUUGUUGCCACGGGAGGCAGUGGAGGCCAAGUCAUUGGGUGUAUUUAAGGCAGAGAUUGAUAGGUAUCUGAGUAGCCAGGGGAUCAAAGGUUAUGGUGAGAAGGCAGGGGAGUGAGACGAAAUGGGAGAAUGGAUCAGCUCAUAAUAAAAUGGCGGAGCAGACUCGAUGGGCCGAAUGGCCGGCUUCUGCUCCUUUGUCUUAUGGUCUUAUCUUCUCUGACAUCAGGUAUGGCUGCAAUAAACAAAUGCAAUAAUUUCUUAAAAGUAAAUGAAGAUAAAACUGCUAUACUUUUGGUUGGUCCCAAAGCCAAAAGAGAUAAACUUAGGAACUUUGCUCUUCUUGUAAAAUCAGAAGUAACAGGCCUGGGUGUUAUCCUUGAUUCAGAUUUGAAUUUUAAAUCCCACAUAAAGAAAGUGACAAGAGCAGCAUUUCUACACAAGAAAUAUUGCAAAGGUAUCUCUGUUUCUGUCACGUAAUGAUGCUGAAAACUAAUUCAUGCCUUUAAAUUGAAUAGACUAGGUUACUGCAAUACACUGUUUAUUUGCUUUCCGAAGCAAUCCAUUGACAAGCUUCAAUUCAUUCUGAACAUGGCUGCUAAAUUUUUAACUAAAGCCAGGAUGAGGGAGCAUAUCACUCCCAUCCUGGCUACUCUGCAUUAGCUUCCUGUAUCUUUUAGAAUUGAUUUUAAAUGUCUCAUAUUUACUUUUAAAGCUCUUAAUGGCCUGAGACCAGACUACAUCACAGAACCAUUUUCGUUUUAUAAUCCUGCUCAAGCUCUCAGAUCUUCAUCUGCUGGUCUCUUAAAUUUAAAUUUAAACAAUCUCCCUCAAAAGAUAAUUGGAAGGUCAGCUUUUUUUUGAACCAUACUCCUGAAGUGUGGAAUUCAAUCCUUAAAACUAUGAGGGAUACAGACUCAGCUAACACUAUUAAACACCAGCUAAAGACCUUGCUUUUAAUUAGUAUCUUCUUGUCUUUUAUUUUUUUUUCCAUGGUUGUACUUUUAGCCCAUUGUAAAGCACUUUGAGCUGCAUCAUCUGUUUGAAAAGUGCUCUAUAAAUAAAAGUCUUUGUGAGUAUUACUUUAGUGCCUAUAUAACUGCUUCUUCACUGACUGUAUCUAACUUCAUCAUCUCGUCUAACAACAUAUUCCAAAAACCAGUACUCCCUGUGUCAAACUGAUCUCAUUGCAAUCUCCCAAGCACCUACACCCAUUUGUUCUUAAUACCCCAGCCAUGCGAAGAAGAUUCUAUCUACCCUCUUUAUGCCACUCAUUAGGUCGCUCAUCAGCCUCGCUCGCUCCAGGGAAAACAAGCCCAACCUCUGCAAUUUCUCCCUGUAUCUAAAGUCUUCUACGCCAAUCAACAACACACAUCAAAAUUGCUGGUGAACGCAGCAGGCCAAGCAGCAUCUAUAGGAAGAGGCGCAGUCGACG